RNAcentral lists this long non-coding RNA (439 nucleotides) under Linum usitatissimum (flax). RNAcentral's name for it is "long non-coding RNA (LUSI_LNC001587)". Lineage: Eukaryota; Viridiplantae; Streptophyta; Magnoliopsida; Malpighiales; Linaceae. The record is from RNAcentral.
GGGAUGCGGCGACGGCGGAGGAGUCUGGUGCUGUUGUUGUUGUUUCAGCUGGUAGUGAAUCCAUUUGCAAGGGAGAUGGUGGAGAGAGUGAAGAGAGAAAAAGAAAAGCAAAGGGAAAGCAAAGGAAGAAGAAAGGAGGGAGCUUGGGGAAGCGGAAAGGAUACACAGACAGAGAAAUAAGAGAGAGUGUUGGACAGUGGGGGGGAAUUUGAAUUGCAGGGGAAGGUGGCGAGUGGCGUGAACUCGCGCUGUGUUGUCAGGUUUUUUUUUGUUUUUUAUAUUGAUAUAUAUUUUUGCUACAAUGAUCGGAUUAAGAGAAAUAAGAGAGAGUGUUGGGACAGUGGGGGAGAAUUUGAAUUGUAGGGGAAGGUGGCGAGUGGAGUUCACUCGCGCUGUUUUGUCAGGUUUCUUUUUGUUUUUUAAUUGAUUUGUAUUUUUG